UAUGUAGGCGGUUUAUUAAGUCCAAGGUCAAAGCCCGAAGCUUAACUUCGGUUCGCCUUGGAAACUGAUAGACUUGAAUACUGUAGAGGCAAGUGGAAUUUCUAGUGUAGCGGUGGAAUGCGUAGAUAUUAGAAGGAACACCAGUGGCGAAGGCGGCUUGCUGGGCAGUUAUUGACGCUGAGAUACGAAAGCGUGGGGAGCAAACAGGAUUAGAUACCCUGGUAGUCC
This 228-nucleotide ribosomal RNA is filed under the name uncultured bacterium. RNAcentral's name for it is "partial 16S ribosomal RNA". It matches the Rfam family "Bacterial small subunit ribosomal RNA", at positions 568 to 796 of the family's 1533-position model. The record is from RNAcentral.